GCCUUCGUGGUGUAACGGUAGCAUCCUGGGCCUGUAUUCCAGAGGUCCGUGGUUCGAUUCCCGGCGAAGGCG
Molecule: transfer RNA, 72 nt
Filed under: Stegodyphus dumicola
Lineage: Eukaryota; Metazoa; Arthropoda; Arachnida; Araneae; Eresidae
Description: tRNA-Thr
Rfam family: tRNA
About the family: Transfer RNA (tRNA) molecules are approximately 80 nucleotides in length. Their secondary structure includes four short double-helical elements and three loops (D, anti-codon, and T loops). Further hydrogen bonds mediate the characteristic L-shaped molecular structure. tRNAs have two regions of fundamental functional importance: the anti-codon, which is responsible for specific mRNA codon recognition, and the 3' end, to which the tRNAs corresponding amino acid is attached (by aminoacyl-tRNA synthetases). tRNAs cope with the degeneracy of the genetic code in two manners: having more than one tRNA (with a specific anti-codon) for a particular amino acid; and 'wobble' base-pairing, i.e. permitting non-standard base-pairing at the 3rd anti-codon position.
Source: RNAcentral